Molecule: ribosomal RNA, 499 nt
Filed under: uncultured bacterium
Lineage: Bacteria
Description: partial 16S ribosomal RNA
Rfam family: Bacterial small subunit ribosomal RNA
Source: RNAcentral
GAUGAACGCUGGCGGCGUGCCUAACACAUGCAAGUUGAGCGAGAAGUUUAUGGAAUAAGUCUUCGGACAAGUAAAGUAAAUGGAAAGCGGCGGACGGGUGAGUAACGCGUAGGCAACCUGCCCCAUACAGAGGGAUAGCCUCGAGAAAUCGGGAUUAAAACCUCAUAAUGCCAUCGAGUCACAUGGCUCUUUGGCCAACGAUUUAUCGGUAUGGGAUGGGCCUGCGUCUGAUUAGCUAGUUGGUGAGGUAACGGCCCACCAAGGCUGCGAUCAGGAUCAGAACUUGGGGGUUCAUCUGCCACAUUGGAACUGAGACACGGUCCAAACUCCUACGGGAGGCAGCAGUGAGGAAUAUUGCACAAUGGGCGAAAGCCUGAUGCAGCAACGCCGCGUGAGCGAUGAAGGCCUUUGGGUCGUAAAGCUCUGUCCUUGGGGAAGAAACAAAUGACGGUACCCUUGGAGGAAGCCCCGGCUAACUACGCGCCAGCCGCCGUAAAAC